CAAUGCCUACGGGACGCAGCAGUGGGGAAUAUUGCACAAUGGGGGAAAACCUGAUGCAGCGACGCCGCGUGAGUGAAGAAGUAUUUCGGUAUGUAAAGCUCUAUCAGCAGGGAAGAAAAUGACGGUACCUGACUAAGAAGCCCCGGCUAACUACGUGCCAGCAGCCGCGGUAAUACGUAGGGGGCAAGCGUUAUCCGGAUUUACUGGGUGUAAAGGGAGCGUAGACGGCGCGGCAAGUCUGAAGUGAAAGGCAGGGGCUUAACCCCUGAACUGCUUUGGAAACUGCCAUGCUA
RNAcentral lists this ribosomal RNA (293 nucleotides) under uncultured bacterium. Its description in RNAcentral is "partial 16S ribosomal RNA". It matches the Rfam family "Bacterial small subunit ribosomal RNA", at positions 333 to 643 of the family's 1533-position model. The record is from RNAcentral.